Molecule: small RNA, 6326 nt
Filed under: Rattus norvegicus (Norway rat)
Lineage: Eukaryota; Metazoa; Chordata; Mammalia; Rodentia; Muridae
Description: uncharacterized LOC102547955
Source: RNAcentral
AAUGGAGGAAGCCAGCAGCCAAUGAGCAGCGCCUCCAGGGGCGGGAGCAGAGAGACAAGGAAAUGCUGUCACCGCCGUUAACAAGCACGUGGAGGUUUGUUAAAGGUAGUGGGAGGCAUAAUUCUUAGUCAAUGAGAGACAGCAGUAGCCAAUCCAGAAUACCAGGGACAGGUGCGGUGCCGGCAAACUGACUUCAGGCUGUGGAUGUACGGCUGAGAGAGAAGUAGGAAACCCUGACAGUGCUCAUGCUGGCUUUGAUCCGGCUGGAGCAGCCUGUGGUGGAAAUGGCUCUAUAUAGCCUUGGUGUCUACCAGCAUCUGGAGUGGGAGCCACAAGAGCCAUGUAGACAGGCACCUAGCACUGUGCCAGCAACGUGGGGCUGACUGGCUCUGGGGAAGAGCUGUUGGCAGUGCUGGCGACAAGGAUAGAGUGUGAGGCCUGGUGACAGGAUGGCAGCGCAGAAGCCUCAGCGCUCAGGAGCUGCGGUCCUGGCUGCUCUGAGGGCUCUGCCACUGUAACUGUCACCAACAAUAGGACAAACAGAACUCUUGAACUGCUUUGGCACAGCGCACACCCUUCUGUGAGCACGCUCAUGGGAAUGUCACAUAAACUCAAGGACAUUUUGUGAAACAACUGCCUGUGGCCUUCGAAAGCAGCAAGGCCAUGACUGUCAAGGUAAAAAGUGCCGAUCCUCGAAGCCCUGGGUUAAACUCCAGCUUCAUGGUGGUGGGGGUGUGAGGAACUAUUCCUGAAAGAGAGAUUGACCAGAGACGUGUGACUACUGUACAUGAGGUGGACAGAGCCCAUGGGCAGUGCUGGAAUUACUAAGCAAAGCAUGCAGGAAACCUGAGUGGUGCCUCCCCAUUGGACACCAGCAUUUCACUAAUGGAGACCACAAGAGGACGCUGAGUCCUCUGGGAGUGGAGUUACAGCUGGUUGACAACCAACAUGAGGAGUCUAGACUGAAGGGGAAAACGCAUACUCACAUGCCCACGUGCACACACAAUGAAUGAAGCACAAGAAACCAUCUCUCAGGGAGAAGCAGAGGUGGAGAGAAGCAAGGAUAGAGCUCACUUGUAAUCCCAGCACUGAGGCUGCAGCAGGAGGAUUCCAAGUUUGAAGCCAGCUUUGGCUGUGCAGUGAGGUAAAGGCCUACCUGGGACACAGGGAGACCCUGUCUCAAAAAAGGAAAAAGGUCUGGCUGCACCUGUUAUUUUUCUUGUCAUUAGCAGUGGCCAGCAUUUUUUUCCUCCUGAACUUUCUUACUUUACACCAAAUUCUAUGGUUCUGGCUCAAAUUCUCACUCUUGCCGUUAUAUGUAAUCUUACAAUAAAAAUACUUUAUUAUGAAAGUAUACAUAUCUAGCCUGUUAUGGCCCCAGAGCUACUCCAUAAGGAAAGAAAAAACAGACCAGUUUUCCCUGUUCCAUCUGCUUUCUACAGAGGGAACUAUGUCUACUUGGCCUAAGACCUGAAGAGAUCUCAGGGCAGAAGCCAUUUCCUGCCACCCCAAAUGAUGGUGACUCCAGCUUCCCAUCAGAUCUGCUGCUGAUCUGCCUCUGUUUCAAAAGCAAGCCAAAGGGGUCCCUGAAAGAUAAAGGGUAAAGAGAAACAGACAGGCUGGCCAGGAAGCAACACAGUGCCUUCAGUGGUCACCAGGCUCCAAGCCCGUGAAAUGCUGCAGAGCAAGGGAGAUCCUGCAGAGGCUGCCAACUGUGAAACCAGAGGACAGACGGCUCUUGCAAAGUGGACACGUAGAUUCUAGGACAUCACAGACACAGAUCUCUGCAGAAUCACUGUAGCCAUGAAGGGACAGCUGCAAAUAAAAGUAUGCAGUUGCAAAAACCAGUCCUGUAGGCACAGCCAGUUGCUUUUAAAGGUUCUAGAUGGAGUCAUCGGCAAAAAGCAGGCACCAUGCAUUUUGUUUCAACUGACACUGAAAUGCUCAUAGUAUUUUUGUGAACAAGAAAGAGGAAAUGAAGGCUGGGUGAUCAUCUUACUUGGGGCUAAGGGUGGUGGGUAUAAGCCAAGGUACCUCCAAGUCAGCCUGGGCUCAGGACCAGGGACCACAGGCAUCCUGGGUCUUUUUACUGACAUGUUUUCCUUCUGGUAAUUGUCAUCUUAUUUUAAUUAUUUACUUACUGAGUAUCACAUUAGUCUAGCCUCUGACUGCUGGAAUUUAAAGCAUGCAUGUUUAGUUAACAAAAACUAUUUAAGAAAAACUAAAAAAUUCAAUUAUAGGUAAGAAAAAUAACGUUCCUCAUAUAGUAUUCCCCACACUGGGCUAUAUUUGGAGACUUGGGCCCACUCUUAGGGGUAUUUCCAGUGAGAGACUUUCAAGCUUCUGACCAUGGUACUUACUCUGUAAGUCCAAAGAACAAAACCAUGCCACCUGUGUGGAUGUUCAAGAAGCCAGGUUUCUGUUUAACUCAAAGAUACCUUUGCAUGCCUCUGGAGGUGAUGUUUCCCUUUCUCUAAAAUUGUUUAACCAGAGACAAGGUGUAUAUUCUGUUGGAGUUGGGACAGAGAAGUGGGGUAAAAAGUUGGACUAAACUUUCUUUCAAAUGUUAUCCUUCUGAGAUGCAAGGGAGAUCAGGUGAGAGGGACCCUGCCUAGCAUGUACAAGGGCCUUGGUUACAUACCUAGCACGUAAAACAGAACAAACAAACUAAGCAUUUUCAGACCAUGUUGUGCUGAUAAAAGCAUAGGACAAGUUAGCUGCUGGCAGGGCCAGGAAGGCAGGCAGUCGGUCUCCUAGGAGGCUCUCAAGAUUCGUUUACUUAACAAAGCUUGGUGAAUGAUGAUGCCCUUCCUGCAUUAUGAAACACAGAGGCAUGCAGUGGAGCAGAGUAAAAGGAAGUGUAGCAAAGACAGACCAGGACUUCCUCACCGGCUUCCUAAUCACCUCUCUCCCUCUGUAGCCCUGGAUCAAUCAGUUUGGAAACCUGGUUGGGCUCAGAGUUCUCAACCUGUGGGUCAUGACCCCUCUGAAGGGGUGUCAAUUGGCCCUUUCAUAGGAGCCUCACACCAGAUAUUCUGCAUAUCAGAUAUGUGCAUUAUAAUCCAUAAUAGCAAAAUUACAGUUAUGAAGUGGCAACAAAAUAAUUUUAUGGUUAGCAAUCCCCACACUUAGGAACCAUGUCAACUGGUCACAGAACUAGGAAGGUUGAGAGCCACUGGGUCAGAGGGGAACUGCUCUCCCGCUGAGGCUGCGGGCUGCUGCUCCCGGCUGCAUGCCUCAUCUUAGUUGCAUUUUCCUCCCCAGCUGGCUCUCAAAAUACUUCUUUAGUCUAAAACCACUAUGGGUGUCUCCUACUGUCACUGAGAGCUUUGUGUGGUCCCUGGGCAAUCAAAUGGGAGAAACAUUUCCCUGCCACUGCAGAAUUGUAUUCUGGAAAGAGAAAGAGAAGGAAAGAGAGAAGUACUUCUGGUUGGUGUGUAAGUGGAUGUGGUUAAGGAGAGACACACCCGCAGAUUCUCCGAGCAGCCUCUCUUCGUCUGGAACCCUGUGUUUAGAAUUUGUAAUGUGGGGGUUGGGGAUUUAGCUCAGUGGUAGAGCGCUUGCCUAGCAAAUGCAAGGCCCUGGGUUCGGUCCCCAGCUCUGAAAAAAAGAAAAAGAAAAAGGAAAAAAAAAAAAAAAAAAGAAUUUGUAAUGUGGAUGCAAGUCAUGCUUGACCCUUCCUCCACACCACUGAAAGCACCGAGUGGAACAGAAAGCCGCAGAGGGGCUCACAUGUAAUUCUGCAAUUGCUUCACACCACUUCCACUACACUACACAGUUUUCUUUCUGUGUGAGGGCCGGACCCAGGGUCUCACAUAUGUACGGCAAAUGCUAUAUAUAUAUGUGAACUAUUUCCAGCUCAUCCAACAUUUUUUAAUAAUCCCACGGUAUGUGGUCGCUGAAACCUACAAUUUAGCAAUAUAGGUAAUAAGAAUUACUGUAUAUUUCUCCUUUUUUACAUUUAUUUAUUUUGUGUGUGUUUGAACACAUAUGAAAGUUACAGAACAAUUUGGAACCAGUUCUUUCCACCACGUGGGUUCUCCAGGUACUGAACCCUGGUUAUCAAGUUCGGCAGCAAUCACCUUAUCCUCCACUGAACCAUAUCUCACACCCUUACCAAAUAUUCUUGAAAGAAAAAGCAUGCACGUCUCUCAGCUGUAGAAUCUGGAUCUUAUUAUUAAUUCAUUUCCGCUAACACUCCCUAAGUCUCCAGGCUGAAGGCUGGCAGUCAUCUUUGAUACAAGCAAAAUGACCAGCACAUCUCGGCCCCAAGAAGUCCUGAGGGGCUGAAUAAGGUGGCAAGGAGGAAGGAGUAUCAGGUAACUGAGGGACUCGACAGAACCCAAAGCUGACAGAAAAGCACCUAAUUCCCAGACUCCUCAUAGCAUCUGCCUCCCUCAUAUCCCUCUAGUACAGCCUUCGCCCCCUGCUGUCCUCUCCAAACCUCCCUCCACUCUGCGGGCUGCUUCUACCAGGUCACCAGACCUCGCUCAUGGCUGCCCCCCUGCCAAUUCACUCCAUCACUAAAAUACUGACAUUCUUCAACAAGUGUCCCUUCUCACCCAAGAUCUCUUUCCUUAGGGGACUGUGUCUGUUCACAUGGCUUCAGACAGCUUCCACGGGUUCAUUCCCAGGUCUGUGUUCAGCCCAGCCCUCAGUGGCCCUUCCCUGGGUCGGCCAGACACUCCCAACCCAGAGCACUCCCUCCUGACCGGUUUGUUCUUCCCUCCCAGCCUCCAUGGCCCUCCCUUUGGAUCCCAGGAGCUUAUCUCUGCUGCCCUUCCCUUGCUUACGGCUCUUCUGUCCUUUCUAGCUGAUGCUUGGACCUUUAGGCCAGUUUUCAUUUUCCUCCCUAGCAAAAUUUAUUGACAGCCAUUUUGUAACAGGUAUAUCAUGUCUUUGGGAUCCUUUCUGGACUGAGAUGAAGUCAGGACUUUGCUAGCAUCCAGCACCCAUUACAGUGAGAGCAGGCCUAAGGUAUGGAUGGGGUAAGGACCUGCUCUUCUGAGUAAGCUGUGCUGGUCUUCACUGAACUGCUGAUACCAGCUCUGGUUCCUGGUACAGUUCUGGGAGAGGAGGAAGAAUAGUCUUUGGAAUGUGUGGUUGUAAUGUCAGCAGGACCCUGAGCAUUACCCUCCUGGUGGACAGUUGGGGCCUCGUCAUUCUUGGUACCAGUUUCUCUCCUUUCUGUUCGCUAAUCCAUGGCAUGGUCCUUGCUUAAAUGACCUCUCAGCUCAGGCAGAACUCCCACCCUCAGCCUCCAGGGCAGCUUUCAACCUCUGGCCCACUCUAUCCAGUCAGGUCACUUUGGGAAGACUAAACUCGGAGCCCUACCCAGCCUCUCCCCUGACUACACCUCCCCCUUAGUUUGCGGAAGCUCCACUGAUAAGCUGAGAGGAACCAAGCACCCAGCCUCCUCCCUCCUUGUCUGCCAUUCUCUCUCCUGAGCCUGAAGCCAGCACUGUCCCUUUGGCCAUUUAGAAUCCCUAAAGGUUGUUUCUCACUUACUCUCCAGAAGCAGAUGACCUUGUUGGGUGCCAGUGCGCACUCCUGUGGCACCCUUGGCAAAGCUGGCCUCACCAUAGAGUAGGGAGCUUAGGUGGCUCUAUGCUGGAGGGGUGGGUGGGCUUUCUCUGGCCGACAUUAACAGGAAGGACCCUGAGCCCUGGUUAUCAGGCUGUCCUAGGAUGGACUGGCUCAAAGUCCACACUUGGACCCUAGGCUACUGGGCCGUUAUUUUUUUUUUUUUAAAUCCUUCCCAGCUAUGGCUUCCUUAGCCCUCCACUAUGGUAUUUCCCUAGUAGGAAUUUCGCUCUGCACAAACAGUCCUUCUGGUGGCUAUUUUGGUCAGUCUGGCUGGGCCAGAAGCCAGUAAAGCAGUUCCUAAGGCCAGGUUUUCCCAGUUGCCUAGCCUGGAAGAAUUCAGAGCUGGUGAGGGAAAAGCAAGCCACGGCUGGUUUUAAAGAACAAAACUGGACCUCCAGGGAAACUGGUGAAUGAAUCAGCCUGGAUGGAGGGUGGAGGGAGCAAGCUGGGCUGGGCUGUCCGGAAAACUGAACACCCAGCAAUCUCACACAGGAAGAUGACGUUCACGCCUUUCAUUGCAGAACUCUGAGCAGAGGCUACUAAUGCCACAGGCCAAAAGGAGAGAACAGAUCUCUCCAUCCCAACCCUGACCCCACCACUCAGCCAUGACCCUGGGAUGUACAUAGGACUUUAUCAAGAAGUUACCCUUCCAGGGGUUGGGGAUUUAGCUAAGUGGUAGAGCGCUUGCCUAGCAAAUGCAAGGCCCUGGGUUCGGUCCCCAGCUCCGAAAAAAAGAAAAA